GCGGCGUGAUUACAAACCGGACGUCUGAAAGUCAACCGACCGCAGAGUCGAUGUGGACCCUUGUCCCCCGUGGCUGAGUG
This 80-nucleotide small nucleolar RNA is filed under the name Trypanosoma cruzi. RNAcentral's name for it is "C/D small nucleolar RNA (snoRNA), TB8C3C2". The record is from RNAcentral. Lineage: Eukaryota; Euglenozoa; Kinetoplastea; Trypanosomatida; Trypanosomatidae.